AUUGAACGCUGGCGGCAUGCCUUACACAUGCAAGUCGAACGGCAGCACGGGUGCUUGCACCUGGUGGCGAGUGGCGAACGGGUGAGUAAUACAUCGGAACAUGUCCUGAAGUGGGGGAUAGCCCGGCGAAAGCCGGAUUAAUACCGCAUACGAUCCACGGAUGAAAGCGGGGGACCUUCGGGCCUCGCGCUAUAGGGUUGGCCGAUGGCUGAUUAGCUAGUUGGUGGGGUAAAGGCCUACCAAGGCGACGAUCAGUAGCUGGUCUGAGAGGACGACCAGCCACACUGGGACUGAGACACGGCCCAGACUCCUACGGGAGGCAGCAGUGGGGAAUUUUGGACAAUGGGCGAAAGCCUGAUCCAGCAAUGCCGCGUGUGUGAAGAAGGACUUCGGGUUGUAAAGCACUUUUGUCCGGAAAGAAAUCCUUGACUCUAAUACAGUCGGGGGAUGACGGUACCGGAAGAAUAAGCACCGGCUAACUACGUG
Molecule: ribosomal RNA, 486 nt
Filed under: uncultured bacterium
Lineage: Bacteria
Description: partial 16S ribosomal RNA
Rfam family: Bacterial small subunit ribosomal RNA
Source: RNAcentral